This is a long non-coding RNA of Myripristis murdjan (pinecone soldierfish), 1263 nucleotides long. RefSeq lists it as uncharacterized. Lineage: Eukaryota; Metazoa; Chordata; Actinopteri; Holocentriformes; Holocentridae. The transcript is spliced from 3 exons. The record is from RefSeq and is a predicted model, not a curated record.
CAGAGAUGAUGAGUUGAUGGCAGACAGCUGAGCAGGCUGGAGACCCAACCCCAGCACACCAGACCCCAAUCCUGCAAUCAAGCACACACAAACACACAGAAAGACAAGCUCUGGGGCAGAGGGCAUGACAGCCUGAGCAAACAUACAAGUGGUCUGAGGAGGAGACAGAACUCCUCAUAAAGUUGAGAAGUCGCACUGAGGCUCUUUCCACAUGCUCCCAAACAGGAUCGGGGGCUCCUCAAUGUCCCCAACUCCCAAACAGAUGUUGUGGAGUGCAGCACAGCAAGUAAUGAUGGCGGGGACAAAUGUAGGGUCGACCUCCAGGGCAUUGAAGAAGAUGCUGCGCCACCUUGUUUUCUUCACUCCAGCUGUAUGAUACAGCGGGCCUUGGCAUGAUGACAGUGAUGCCACUCCUGCACUCUGCCAUGCAGUGGUUCCCUAUAGGGUGUUAUGAUUAAAAAAAAUGUAGAGGUACCAACCAUUCCCUGGACCUGCAGGAGGGUACAACAGAUCUAUGAGGAGGGGGCUGUUUUUGAGUGCUCUUGUUUCUGAUCCUAGGAUCCUAGGCCUGUGGAAGCAUCUAAAAACACAGACUGCAUGGAGCUGGACAGACUGAAACAGCUUCCUGUCCAGAUAGUCUUUGGCAGCAUGACCUGCAAGUGCCUUGUUCCUGAUGUGGCAUCCAUCAAUUGCACCUACAUAGGUCUCCAAAGCAUCUUGCUGUGCUAGUGCAGCAAAGCCUUGUCCAACCACAUCAAGCUCAUGGGGCUUGGAGAACUGGAUACAGUGCUUCCUCUUGUCCACUAUCCUCUGUUCCAUCUUAUUGACAGCAUGGAAGGUGCUGGUCUUUGAGACAGCAAAGGCACAGCAAAGCACACUCUAAGAGGCCCUGUGAGCCAACCACUAAAGGAAGAUUUCCAGCCAUGGGUCUUUAUGGUGCAUACUAUGCCAUCACCAUAUUCACAGCACCACCUAUGCGAAAAUCAGUCAUCAGUACAUCCACAACAUCAAAAUACAACUUCAGCAAUGGUACCCCUGCUGUUAUUACGUUAAAGCAGUCAGUCGUUAAAGCAGUCAGUCAAGUAUAAUGUGUGCUAUUGCUGAUAAUCUUAUAUGAUUUCUUGAGGAAUAUUUCCUGCAUUGAAUUGUAGGCUACAGGCUUUUUGUAUGCUAUUUUUCUAAGCUAAGAAAGACAUUUCUGAAAUUGCAAGCCUUAUUAACCAAAUGUCAACGUAAUGCAGUCAUCCAAAAGGACAUGUCUCG